CCUACGGGGGGCAGCAGUGGGGAAUAUUGGACAAUGGGGGCAACCCUGAUCCAGCCAUGCCGCGUGUGUGAAGAAGGCCCUCGGGUUGUAAAGCACUUUCAGUGAGGAAGAACGCCUGGUGGUUAAUACCCAUCAGGAAAGACAUCACUCACAGAAGAAGCACCGGCUAACUCCGUGCCAGCAGCCGCGGUAAUACGGAGGGUGCGAGCGUUAAUCGGAAUUACUGGGCGUAAAGCGCGCGUAGGUGGCUUGAUAAGCCGGUUGUGAAAGCCCCGGGCUCAACCUGGGAACGGCAUCCGGAACUGUCAAGCUAGAGUGCAGGAGAGGAAGGUAGAAUUCCCGGUGUAGCGGUGAAAUGCGUAGCGAUCGGGAGGAAUACCAGUGGCGAAGGCGGCCUUCUGGACUGACACUGACACUGAGGUGCGAAAGCGUGGGUAGCAAACAGGAUUAGAUACCCCAGUAGUC
This 465-nucleotide ribosomal RNA is filed under the name Vreelandella stevensii. RNAcentral's name for it is "partial 16S ribosomal RNA". It matches the Rfam family "Bacterial small subunit ribosomal RNA", at positions 338 to 795 of the family's 1533-position model. The record is from RNAcentral. Lineage: Bacteria; Pseudomonadati; Pseudomonadota; Gammaproteobacteria; Oceanospirillales; Halomonadaceae.